UGGGGAAUAUUGCACAAUGGGCGCAAGCCUGAUGCAGCCAUGCCGCGUGUGUGAAGAAGGCCUUCGGGUUGUAAAGCACUUUCAGCGAGGAGGAAGGUGGGUGAGCUUAAUACGCUCAUCAAUUGACGUUACUCGCAGAAGAAGCACCGGCUAACUCCGUGCCAGCAGCCGCGGUAAUACGGAGGGUGCAAGCGUAAUCGGAAUUACUGGGCGUAAAGCGCACGCAGGCGGUUUGUUAAGUCAGAUGUGAAAUCCCCGGGCUCAACCUGGGAACUGCAUUUGAAACUGGCAAGCUAGAGUCUCGUAGAGGGGGGUAGAAUUCCAGGUGUAGCGGUGAAAUGCGUAGAGAUCUGGAGGAAUACCGGUGGCGAAGGCGGCCCCCUGGACGAAGACUGACGCUCA
RNAcentral lists this ribosomal RNA (402 nucleotides) under uncultured bacterium. RNAcentral describes it as "partial 16S ribosomal RNA". It matches the Rfam family "Bacterial small subunit ribosomal RNA", at positions 355 to 749 of the family's 1533-position model. The record is from RNAcentral.